RNAcentral lists this transfer RNA (72 nucleotides) under Corydalis trachycarpa. Its description in RNAcentral is "tRNA-Gln". It matches the Rfam family "tRNA". Rfam says of the family: Transfer RNA (tRNA) molecules are approximately 80 nucleotides in length. Lineage: Eukaryota; Viridiplantae; Streptophyta; Magnoliopsida; Ranunculales; Papaveraceae. RNAcentral also lists the same sequence under 2 other names. The record is from RNAcentral.
UGGGGCGUGGCCAAGUGGUAAGGCGCCGGGUUUUGAUCCCGAAAUGCGAAGGUUCGAAUCCUUCCGUCCCAA